AGGAGAGUUUGAUCCUGGCUCAGGAUGAACGCUAGCGGCAGGCUUAACACAUGCAAGUCGAGGGGCAGCGAGAUGUAGCAAUACAUUGUCGGCGACCGGCGCAAGGGUGCGUAACGCGUGAGUAACAUGCCCGUAACAGAGGGAUAAUCCAUGGAAACGUGGUCUAAUACCACAUAUAAUAUAUUUUAGGCAUCUAUUAUAUAUGAAAGUUUCGAUGGUUACGGAUUGGCUCGCGUAACAUUAGCUAGUUGGUAGGGUAACGGCCUACCAAAGCGACGAUGUUUAGGGGUCCUGAGAGGGAGGUCCCCCACACUGGAACUGAGACACGGUCCAGACUCCUACGGGAGGCAGCAGUGAGGAAUAUUGGACAAUGGAUGGAAAUCUGAUCCAGCCAUGCCGCGUGCGGGACGACGGCCCUAUGGGUUGUAAACCGCUUUUGUAUGAGAGCAAUAAGGUUCACGCGUGGACCGAUGAGAGUAUCAUACGAAUAAGCAUCGGCUAACUCCGUGCCAGCAGCCGCGGUAAUACGGAGGAUGCGAGCGUUAUCCGGAUUUAUUGGGUUUAAAGGGUGCGUAGGCGGUUAUUCAAGUCUGUGGUGAAAAGUCUGAGCUUAACUUAGAUCGUGCCAUGGAAACUGAUUAUCUUGAAUGAGGUUGCCGUUGGCGGAAUGUGUAGUGUAGCGGUGAAAUGCUUAGAUAUUACACAGAACACCGAUUGCGAAGGCAGCUGACGAAACCUUGAUUGACGCUGAUGCACGAAAGUGCGGGUAUCUGAACAGGAUUAGAUACCCUGGUAGUCCCCU
This 802-nucleotide ribosomal RNA is filed under the name uncultured Bacteroidota bacterium. Its description in RNAcentral is "bacterial SSU rRNA". It matches the Rfam family "Bacterial small subunit ribosomal RNA", at positions 1 to 799 of the family's 1533-position model. Lineage: Bacteria; Pseudomonadati; Bacteroidota. The record is from RNAcentral.